GAUGAACGCUGGCGGCGUGCUUAACACAUGCAAGUCGAGCGAAGCACGGAAACGGAUUUCUUCGGAUUGAAGGUUCUGUGACUGAGCGGGCGUAGGGUCGAAGGUACGCGUAGGGUAACCGUGCCCUGUACCGGGGAUAACACACAGAAAUGUCUGCUAAUACCGCAUAAGCGCACGAGAAGGCAUCUUCUUGUGUGAAAAACUCCGGUGGUACAGGGUGGACCCGCGUUGGAUUAGCCAGUUGGCGGGGUAACGGCCCACCAAAGCGACGAUCAGUAGCCGGAUUGAGAGGUUGAACGGCCACACUGGAACUGAGACACGGUCCAG
RNAcentral lists this ribosomal RNA (327 nucleotides) under uncultured bacterium. Its description in RNAcentral is "bacterial SSU rRNA". It matches the Rfam family "Bacterial small subunit ribosomal RNA", at positions 28 to 334 of the family's 1533-position model. The record is from RNAcentral.